GAGACACCCCUAUGGAGCAAUACUUGCUUCAUUGGGGCUUUGGUGCUCACUGAGACUGCCCCCUGAGUGUGUCCCU
Myotis davidii is the source of this 76-nucleotide non-coding RNA. Lineage: Eukaryota; Metazoa; Chordata; Mammalia; Chiroptera; Vespertilionidae. The record is from Rfam.